GACGAACGCUGGCGGCGUGCUUAACACAUGCAAGUCGAACGAUGAAGCCGGAGCUUGCUCCGGUGGAUUAGUGGCGAACGGGUGAGUAACACGUGAGCAAUCUGCCCUUGACUCUGGGAUAACUGCGGGAAACUGUAGCUAAUACCGGAUACGACACCUUGGGGCAUCCCAGGGUGUGGAAAGAAUUUCGGUCGAGGAUGAGCUCGCGGCCUAUCAGCUAGUUGGUGAGGUAAUGGCUCACCAAGGCGACGACGGGUAGCCGGCCUGAGAGGGUGACCGGCCACACGUGAACUGAGACACGGUCCAGACUCCUACGGGAGGCAGCAGUGGGGAAUAUUGCACAAUGGGCGAAAGCCUGAUGCAGCAACGCCGCGUGAGGGAUGAAGGCCUUCGGGUUGUAAACCUCUUUUAGCAGGGAAGAAGCGAAAGUGACGGUACCUGCAGAAAAAGCACCGGCUAACUACGUGCCAGCCGCCGCAGUAA
RNAcentral lists this ribosomal RNA (483 nucleotides) under uncultured bacterium. RNAcentral describes it as "partial 16S ribosomal RNA". It matches the Rfam family "Bacterial small subunit ribosomal RNA", at positions 28 to 523 of the family's 1533-position model. The record is from RNAcentral.